UGGAAAUUGGGAGAUACUUUAUGUUGAGAUUUCAUCAAUAAGUCAGUCUCAAUCUAGGAGUCAGGCAAUGUCCACAUUCUGUGAAUGUGAUGUGAAUAUAUAUAUGUGUGUGUGUGUGUGUGUGUGUGUGUGUGUAAUAUCUACACAAAUGUCCAU
Molecule: non-coding RNA, 156 nt
Organism: Podarcis lilfordi (Lilford's wall lizard)
Lineage: Eukaryota; Metazoa; Chordata; Lepidosauria; Squamata; Lacertidae
Source: the annotation of a GenBank genome assembly